GAUGAACGCUGGCGGCGUGCCUAAUACAUGCAAGUCGAGCGAACAGAUAAGGAGCUUGCUCCUUUGACGUUAGCGGCGGACGGGUGAGUAACACGUGGGUAACCUACCUAUAAGACUGGGAUAACUUCGGGAAACCGGAGCUAAUACCGGAUAACAUUUUGAACCGCAUGGUUCUAAAGUGAAAGAUGGUUUUGCUAUCACUUAUAGAUGGACCCGCGCCGUAUUAGCUAGUUGGUAAGGUAACGGCUUACCAAGGCGACGAUACGUAGCCGACCUGAGAGGGUGAUCGGCCACACUGGAACUGAGACACGGUCCAGACUCCUACGGGAGGCAGCAGUAGGGAAUCUUCCGCAAUAGGCGAAAGCCUGACGGAGCAACGCCGCGUGAGUGAUGAAGGGUUUCGGCUCGUAAAACUCUGUUAUUAGGGAAGAACAAAUGUGUAAGUAACUGUGCACGUCUUGACGGUACCUAAUCAGAAAGCCACGGCUAACUACGUG
This 497-nucleotide ribosomal RNA is filed under the name uncultured bacterium. Its description in RNAcentral is "partial 16S ribosomal RNA". It matches the Rfam family "Bacterial small subunit ribosomal RNA", at positions 28 to 507 of the family's 1533-position model. The record is from RNAcentral.